This 189-nucleotide ribosomal RNA is filed under the name uncultured bacterium. RNAcentral's name for it is "partial 16S rRNA". It matches the Rfam family "Bacterial small subunit ribosomal RNA", at positions 338 to 524 of the family's 1533-position model. The record is from RNAcentral.
CCUACGGGAGGCAGCAGUAAGGAAUAUUGGUCAAUGGACGGAAGUCUGAACCAGCCAUGCCGCGUGGAGGAUGAAGGUCCUCUGGAUUGUAAACUUCUUUUAUCUGGGAAGAAAUGCUUUUUUUCUAAAGAGCUUGACGGUACCAGAUGAAUAAGCACCGGCUAACUCCAUGCCAGCAGCCGCGGUAAU